AGUCGCUAGCCAUGCGAGUCAUAUGUUCUUCAUGAACAUGGCGUACUGCUCAGUAACACGUGGAUAACCUGCCCUUGGGUCCGGCAUAACCCCGGGAAACUGGGGAUAAUUCCGGAUAACGCAUAUAUGCUGGAAUGCUUUCUGCGUAAAAUGGAUUCGUCUGCCCAAGGAUGGGUCUGCGGCCUAUCAGGUAGUAGUGGGUGUAAUGUACCUACUAGCCGACGACGGGUACGGGUUGUGAGAGCAAGAGCCCGGAGAUGGAUUCUGAGACAUGAAUCCAGGCCCUACGGGGCGCAGCAGGCGCGAAAACUUUACAAUGCGGGAAACCGUGAUAAGGGGACACCGAGUGCCAGCAUCAUAUGCUGGCUGUCCGGGUGUGUAAAAUACACCCGUUAGCAAGGGCCGGGCAAGACCGGUGCCAGCCGCCGCGGUAACACCGGCGGCCCGAGUGGUGAUCGUGAUUAUUGGGUCUAAAGGGUCCGUAGCCGGUUUGGUCAGUCCUCCGGGAAAUCUGAUAGCUCAACUAUUAGGCUUUCGGGGGAUACUGCCAGGCUUGGAACCGGGAGAGGUAAGAGGUACUACAGGGGUAGGAGUGAAAUCUUGUAAUCCCUGUGGGACCACCUGUGGCGAAGGCGUCUUACCAGAACGGGUUCGACGGCGAGGGACGAAAGCUGGGGGCACGAACCGGAUUAGAUACCCGGGUAGUCCCAGCCGUAAACGAUGCUCGCUAGGUGUCAGGCAUGGCGCGACCGUGUCUGGUGCCGCAGGGAAGCCGUGAAGCGAGCCACCUGGGAAGUACGGCCGCAAGGCUGAAACUUAAAGGAAUUGGCGGGGGAGCACAACAACGGGUGGAGCCUGCGGUUUAAUUGGACUCAACGCCGGGCAACUCACCGGGGGCGACAGCAAUAUGUAGGCCAAGCUGAAGACUUUGCCUGAAUCGC
RNAcentral lists this ribosomal RNA (941 nucleotides) under uncultured archaeon. RNAcentral describes it as "bacterial SSU rRNA". It matches the Rfam family "Archaeal small subunit ribosomal RNA", at positions 41 to 980 of the family's 1478-position model. The record is from RNAcentral.